Molecule: ribosomal RNA, 1152 nt
Filed under: uncultured Gammaproteobacteria bacterium
Lineage: Bacteria; Pseudomonadati; Pseudomonadota; Gammaproteobacteria
Description: bacterial SSU rRNA
Rfam family: Bacterial small subunit ribosomal RNA
Source: RNAcentral
GUUUGAUUCUGGCUCAGAAUGAACGCUGGCGGCGUGGAUUAGGCAUGCAAGUCGAACGCGUGUAGCAUUACACGAGUGGCCGACCUGGAUAGUACAAGUUGGGCAACCUGCCCGGAAGUGGGGAAUAACCCUCCGAAAGGAGGGCUAAUACCGCCCUCGUGGUCUUCGGACCGUCGCCAAAGCAGCGAUGCGCUUCCGGAUGGGCCCGACCCCCAUUAGCUAGUUGGUGUGGUAACGGCGCACCAAGGGCGACGAUGGGUAGCUGGCCUGAGAGGGUGGUCGGCAUCACGAGGACUGAGAUACGGCCUCGACUCCUACGGGGGGCAGCAGUCUAGAGGCUUCGGCAAUGGGCGAAAGCCCGACCGAGCGACGCCGCGUGGAGGAUGAAGGCCUUCGGGUUGUAAACUCCUUUCGGCAGGAAGGAAGGUGUGGGUGGUGAACCCAUGCUUGACCGUACCUGCGGAAGAAGCCCCGGCUAACUUCGUGCCAGCAGCCGCGGUAAUACGAAGGGGGCGAGCGUUAUUCGGAUUUAUUGGGCGUAAAGGGCGCGUAGGCGGCUCUGCAAGUCUGGUGUGAAAACGCUACCGCUCAACGGAGCGAAUGCGCUGGAAACUGCAGAACUUGAGUCCAGAAGAGGUGCGCGGAAUACCUGGUAUAGCGGUGGAAUGCUUAGAGAUCAGGUAGAACACCCGAGGCGAAGGCGGCGCACUGGUCUGCGACUGACGCUGAGGCGCGAAAGCGUGGGGAUCAAACGGGAUUAGAUACCCCGGUAGUCCACGCUGUAAACGGUGAGUACUAGGUGUGAGGGGUAUCCAUUCCCUUCGUGCCGUCGUUAACACAUUAAGUACUCCGCCUGGGAAGUACGGCCGCAAGGUUGAAACUCAAAGGAAUUGACGGGGGCCCGCACAAGCGGUGGAGCAUGGUGGUUUAAUUCGAUGCAACGCGAAGAACCUUACCUGGGCUCGAACGGUAGCUUACAGGGGCUGAAAGGCCGGCUGCCCUUCGGGGGUCCACCGAGGUGCUGCAUGGCUGUCGUCAGCUCGUGUCGUGAGAUGUUUGGGUUAAGUCCCGCAACGAAGCGCAACCCUCGUCCUUAGUUGCCAGUCGCGUCAUGGCGGGGACUCUAGGGAGACUGCCCGCGGUUGACGGGGA